GAAGAAGAAGAAGAAGAAGAAGAAGAAGAAGAAGAGCAGGAUGAAUCACUUAUCAGUUGUACUCGUCCCGUUUGAUGGAUAAUGACGUUCAGUUGAAGAGGAAGCUAAAAGGAAAACUGCAUUGAGUCUCGAAGAGAAACUGUGAUCAUUCUCUACCUUGGUGAAAAGACAGAGGAGCUAAUCAAGGACUACAAGGUUUGUGAUGAUGAUGCUGCAGCCAUCCAAGAGGAACUCACUUCAUUUGUUCUUCAAAAAACUGAAACACAGGCUUUCCAGAAGAGCUUCCUGGAGCUGGAGGAUGGAAAUCAAAAACUUCUCCCCAAAGUCCAUAACCUCAAAGUCAGCUUUCGUUUAAUCUAGAAGGUUUAAGUUCUGGUAAAGUUUUACAGUUUGCAAUUUCUCAAGUUCUCUUAUGCACUUUGUGAGUCUGUUAUGUUCACAAUGCAUGAUGUUUCUGAUGCAUUUAAAGUGAAGCUGACUGUUAAGUCAGAAAUGUGACUCGUGGAAAAUUUUGCACAAUGUAAAUUCAGUAGAAACCCAAUUGAUGAUUUUUUUUUUAAGAACUUCUGCUCCAUU
Long non-coding RNA from Puntigrus tetrazona (Sumatra barb), 576 nucleotides. RefSeq lists it as uncharacterized. The record is from RefSeq and is a predicted model, not a curated record. The transcript is spliced from 3 exons. Lineage: Eukaryota; Metazoa; Chordata; Actinopteri; Cypriniformes; Cyprinidae.